RNAcentral lists this long non-coding RNA (386 nucleotides) under Vitis vinifera (wine grape). Its description in RNAcentral is "long non-coding RNA (VVIN_LNC002440)". Lineage: Eukaryota; Viridiplantae; Streptophyta; Magnoliopsida; Vitales; Vitaceae. The record is from RNAcentral.
GAAUUCUUAGGCAAAUGCUUCAUGAUCGCCACCUCCCGCCUCACAUCCUCCACAUCCACCGCCGUCCGGAGCUUCCUCUUCGAAAUAGACUUGCAGGCGAGCAGCUCCCUAGUGUCGCGAUCGAUGCACAGGUAAGUCACGCCGAACUCCCCCCGGCCUAACUCCCUAUCCACCAUGUACUUCUCCUCGAUCCCAUCCUUGGACACCCCAUUCAACACCGUGAUCGUCUUCUUGCCAGCUCCGGCGUCCUUCCGACCGUGAUCGUGGCCGGAAUAGUUAGCCGACUUCACAUCCUCCCUGGCAACGGCUGCCGGAGAUCUGCAACAGUUCCCCAUCAAAUCACAGCAAAAAUUGAACACAAAACCGAAUCUCCUAAAACCCUAACC